Molecule: ribosomal RNA, 500 nt
Filed under: uncultured bacterium
Lineage: Bacteria
Description: partial 16S ribosomal RNA
Rfam family: Bacterial small subunit ribosomal RNA
Source: RNAcentral
AUUGAACGCUGGCGGAAUGCUUUACACAUGCAAGUCGAGCGGCAGCGCGGGGGCAACCCUGGCGGCGAGCGGCGAACGGGUGAGUAAUGUAUCGGAACGUACCCAGUCGUGGGGGAUAACUAUCCGAAAGGAUAGCUAAUACCGCAUACGUCCUGAGGGAGAAAGCGGGGGAUCGCAAGACCUCGCGCGAUUGGAGCGGCCGAUAUCGGAUUAGCUAGUUGGUGAGGUAAAGGCUCACCAAGGCGACGAUCCGUAGCUGGUCUGAGAGGACGACCAGCCACACUGGAACUGAGACACGGUCCAGACUCCUACGGGAGGCAGCAGUGGGGAAUUUUGGACAAUGGGGGCAACCCUGAUCCAGCCAUUCCGCGUGAGUGAAGAAGGCCUUCGGGUUGUAAAGCUCUUUCGGCAGGAACGAAACGGUGGUCCUUAAUACGGACUACUAAUGACGGUACCUGAAGAAGAAGCACCGGCUAACUACGUGCCAGCCGCCGCAGUAA